UCACAUCUAGCUAAUGAUUUUUCAUUUGUUUCCCUCACCCAUUCUUCAAACUGCUUAAGCUGUAGGCUUAAGAUUUCAUUUGUAAGUACAACAGGAGAUGCAGAAGAGAUGAGUUCUCUUGGGCUGGUAUCUUGCCCAUCCACGCAAUUUUUAUUGCUUUUUAAACAGGCUAUUAAGGAGCAGAUUCCAAGCACAGGUCUCUCCUGCCUGGAAACAAAACAUACUACUAAUCUCUUUCAGUCAGGUGUGUGAGCAAAACCUUGACAAGGUUGACAGGAUGCCUGAAGCUGUUAGCUCAGUGUUACUGUUAGGUAGUAAUGAUCAGCUAGCAGUAUCUGCUGGGUUGGUUUGGCAGGACUACAAGGUGUGCUUGGUAGGGCUGUUUGUUAGUUCUUGGUGGCAUUGUUGGUGUACUCUCUCUGUACCUAUUCCUUUGCUACUUAUCUCACAGUCCAAAAGUCAGCAGGCAGGAGCCAGCAUCCUCAUUAAACUAUUAGGUAGUACUCUCUAAUGCUGCUAGACAUCAUCCAGUUCUGUUGAAUAAUUAAUCCGUGAGGAAGAGGUUAGUAAGAGCAAUUUAUACCAAACUGAGACCAGCUCCCUGACUGUACUCAAAGAAAAUACACAAGCAGACACAAAGUGAAGAUUAAAAAAGGCAGCCACAGGAUUUGCCAGUUUUUGAGAGCCUACAAAAAUGGGAUAUCAGCUCAAGCAUCAACCAAUGCAAUAAAAGCCAUUUAUCUUGGAAGACUUUUAACUUCAUCCUCUCCAAGAACUCUGCAAGAUUCUCUGCACCUUCUGGCUCAUUCUACGGAGCUGAAACCUCUGGACCAUAGCAACAAGGAACAGAAGAUUCUGGAGGAAGAAGCAGACAGUGCACUGCAUUGAGCAGGUACACAGCCUGCCUAGCGGGAAGAGGAGAAGGAGACCAGUGACAGGCAGCCUCCUAGGACCUGCAAGCACUCCCCAGCAGCUGCAAGCCUAUCACAGGCUAGCUACAAGAGACACAAAUACAGGUCACUGGUUCUUGGUGGAUGAAAAAGAGAAACAAAUAACACUUAGGGGACUGAAUUUUUUUCCACAUGCCAUAAAUAUAGGGUUAAGGAAGAUGAUACGUCUAUCUGCCAUGGACUGUCAAAGCCCAGGAAGAAACAGAAAACAAAAAGCCCAAUGAAAUAAGGAGUACCAAAAGGAAGAAACACAGUAACCACAAUGAAUCACCACAUUUCCAACUGCGAUAGAGACUAUUUGCAGUCUACACACACAGCUCCUCACAAACAGUGGCCUCUACUCAUGGAAAAUAUCAAACCAGACCGUUUCACCUGCCUGACUCAUGUUCAUUGCUUCAGCACCAGCUUCCCACUGCUGCUUCCCCACUGGGGCUCACUCAAUCCUCUGUGCCAGUGACUGGCUGAGCUGAAGCACUUGAACUCACAGCUUCAAGCUCUGGGUCCCUCAGUCAUCACCCAGCCACAUCCUUAUGAAGGUCUGCAAAGUCCUCAGCAGCAGCUCCUGUCAUUCCCCUGUACAGGUAGCAGUAACAACUGAGAACCAAGCUGGCCAAAGGGAUUCAAAGCCAUGUUCUCAUCCUGCUUGCAAUGCUGCUGUACACCUUGUCAGUACAGUAUUCCUGGAUUGGUUGUUUCAGGUGUGAUCUGGACUAUAGUACUCUGCCUUCCUUCCCCUGGGCUACUUUGAGGGCAGCUACUGCCACCAGUUAAUCUCCUGGAGGGAAGGUCACUAUGGAGCCAGGGUUUAAAGUGUCCUGUUACUUCAGAGAUUGGCUUUUUGGUGGCUGUAAGAAAAGGGAUUCAACAUGCUAAGCCUGUCUCUGCAUAUUUUUGAAAUCUUACUAAAUUGCCAGCUUGACAGAGGAGAAAAGUCAUUUAUAUAACAUUAUGCUAACAUAAUGAAUUUCUUAGUGUUGCUGGUAAGCCCUCUGUACUAAGUGAAUCUUUUAACAUCAGUGUCAUGAAGAAUAUGCACAUUGUCUUUGGCAAUAAAACAGCAUUGUUCAACUUUUCACUAGUUUACUGAGAAAUAGUAUACUGAGAAAGUUUAUUUCCCUUUGAGUAAUUCUCAGUUGUUCCAGAAAUGACAGGGCAGCAGUUACUUUGAGGAAAUAUCCUCUUUGCUUUUUACUGUCUUUGAUUAAAAAUUACAUGAUGGAUCACUGUCAUCACCAGGAGAAAAAGGUUGGAACUUUAGGAACCAGUAAAUUUAAGUGUAGGUUAACUUUUGCAGUAAUCUAUAGCAGACUGGAUGGCCAACACACAUGAGUGAUUUGUUUUGUGCCCAUUUAUUGCUGUCAGGCUGCUGAGCACGGGCCAUAGAUUGCACAGGGGAAAACUUCAGCAGUUCCUAGCAAUUCCACUGAUACUUUGGAGCUUCGCACAUGCAUGAUCACUGCAUGCACAUUAAAAAUCUCCAUAAGAAUUGAGACAUAAGUGUAAUCCCACCAGUUCCAGUGUAACACUACUGGAAUUGUCCAGAGACUAGGAAUUACAGAGUGGAUUGUGACAAGAUGAGGUACUUUUUUUUAGUCAGUCUUGUUCCAACAAGAUCACUAUACUGGGGUAUACUAAAAAUUUUGCCCUGGAAAAAAGGGACAGAAUCAGAAUCUAAUCUGGGCUUGCUGCUGUCCCCAUCCCCCUCCUCUCUAAAUAAAAAUAAAAUGUAAUCCAUUAAAAAUUUGUCCUACUUCGAUAUGGUCAUUGCUAAAGCAGUAACAUGCUUUCCUGGCUGCCCCAACCCUUCUGCCCACAAUAAAGGCAGUUUCUUUUCAACAAGGUACUCAGGACAAAGGAAGAAAGCCUAUGACCAAAGCACUUCUGGAUAGUAGUGAUUGUGUCUCAGUUAAAACAGGAUAAUUUUGAGACUUAUAAAAUGUUGGCUUAUAUGAAGAUAUUUCAUAUACUAAAAGUCAUUCAUAGAUUUGGGAAAAAUCAACUAAAGUAAUUUUGGAGCUAGAUCCAAGCACAGAAAAAUAUGGUUGCAGUAAUCAGUCUUUGCUGAGAUGCUCCUAAGCUGUUUUGGUUUUCUUUAAUUCAUGUAUUAUUAUAAUAAGCAAAGAAGAAAAAUCUCAACAGCUUAAAAACUCAUCUGAGCUUUCACAUGGGGAAAACAGAGGCUUUCUCUUUUGUUUUAAAUUCAAGCUAACCAAAAACAUAAAGAAAUCUACAUACCCUGUGGCAUCUCCAAAUGAAGAUUUGCUAUUGUAUUUUUACAUUGGUCUUUUCCUAUCUGCUCAAAUCACUUAGUUGAACAAAUUAGCUCAGUGCAUUAAGCAUGGUGUUAAUAACACCGAGGUUGUGGGUUUGGUCCGUCACUUAAGAGCUAGACUUUUUGGUACUUGUGUGUCUGUUUCAACUCAGAAUAUUCUGUGAUUGAGAAACUGAUGAGCAUCAGUUUUAGCCAUGUGAAUCAUCUUUCUGACAAGCAGCAGAAUAGAGUCUCAAGUCCUCAAGUUAAUUUUUAAAACUGGCAGUAAAAUAUAUAAAUGGAAUGUGUCUAGAAAGAACACACUUUAAACUGGAAAAACCAAAAGCAAGAAUUCCUGCUUAGCUUCUGUAGCAAAUCUGAUCCUUAGACAUAAAAAACCAAAUGAGGUAUUAGAGAAGAGCAAAUAGGCAGCUUGUCUUGGACUUGGACUUUCAGUUUAAAUUAUGCCAGAUGUGGGAAGUGCCAUCUGCUUUAGAUUCAUGUAAUACUCUCUGGCUAUGUUGUCUGUGUUACUAAUAUUGUACCAUUCUUCAUAAUAAGUUUGUAAGGUUGGCCAAGGUUAAGUUCUAAUUGCAUCAGCAACUGCUUGAUUCAUAGCUCAGUAACACAUGCCUGUGUCAGUGAAUCUCAGCUUGCUAAAUCCUUCUUUGUGAGGACAGGAACAUUCAUGGACAUCAGCAAAAGUGAUUGUGUACUUCCACUAGCAUAUGAAAUAGUUGACUAUUUUCAAAAUAAUAAGUUUAACCAUUAUUAAUUUAAAACCAAAAUCAUAUUAAAAAGUGCAGUUAAACUUUUUUUGAUAGGGGCAGGAAAAAAAAAUGUUCAAGCUCAGUGCUGAUAUCCCUAGAAAUCUUGAACAUGGGUGCUAUGAGUUGUAGUGGUAUAAGUGCCUUGAGAGUGCCCUGCCAAUAAACUAUUACUCUUUUCUUAAAAGUGAGAGUAUUCACCCUUUGACCAUCUGAUUCUGCGACAUUUUCUGUAAUAGUAAACUUUAGG
Taeniopygia guttata (zebra finch) is the source of this 4218-nucleotide long non-coding RNA. RefSeq lists it as uncharacterized. The record is from RefSeq and is a predicted model, not a curated record. NCBI's taxonomy places the organism in Eukaryota, Metazoa, Chordata, Aves, Passeriformes, Estrildidae.